Molecule: long non-coding RNA, 578 nt
Organism: Dendronephthya gigantea
Lineage: Eukaryota; Metazoa; Cnidaria; Anthozoa; Malacalcyonacea; Nephtheidae
Exons: 3
Source: RefSeq, a predicted model, not a curated record
UUCGGUAGCGUUCUUUUUUUCGGUAGUGUUCAUUUUUUUGGUACCGUCCAUUUUUCAAUUAGACCAAUAAUUUCUUGUUUAAGUGCCGUUGUACGUUUUUGCCGGUUACUGUUGUGUUUUAACAGAUUAUAACGAAAACAGUAAGAAAUCUUAUGAUGAGCGAUCGUGGAUCAGGGUAUCACAAAGAAGAGCUGUACAGAUUGGCAAAUCGUCGAGAGAAGUCGAAAGAAGCAUUGAACAGAAAGUGCAUUUGACCAGAAGACUGCACUAACAUUCCCCUGUUAACGGCGGAAGAUUAUAACGAAAACAGUAAGAAAUCUUGAUUAUGAUGAGCGAUUGUGGAUCAUGGCAUCACAAAGAAGAACUGUACAGAUUGAAAACCUAAAGUUGCUCAUCUCGGUGUUAGAUCAAUGAAAAUAGAAAUCACCUUAUACAGAUUAUAACGAAAACAGUAAGAAAUCUUAUGAUGAGCGAUUGUGGAUCUUGGCGUGACAAAGAAGAGCUGUACAGAUUGAAAACUUAUAGUCGCUCAUAUCAAUAAAAAUAGAAAUCACCUUAUACAGGUUCGCGAUCUCUGA